UUUGGACUUCGCUGUCCCGCCUGCCUAAUACAUGCAAGUCGAGCGGAUCUUUCAAAAGCUUGCUUUUGGAAGAUCAGCGGCGGACGGGUGAGUAACACGUGGGCAACCUGCCUGUGAGACUGGGAUAACUUCGGGAAACCGGAGCUAAUACCGGAUAAUAUAAGGAACCUCCUGGUUCUUUAUUGAAAGAUGGUUUCGGCUAUCACUCACAGAUGGGCCCGCGGCGCAUUAGCUAGUUGGUGAGGUAACGGCUCACCAAGGCGACGAUGCGUAGCCGACCUGAGAGGGUGAUCGGCCACACUGGGACUGAGACACGGCCCAGACUCCUACGGGAGGCAGCAGUAGGGAAUCUUCCACAAUGGACGAAAGUCUGAUGGAGCAACGCCGCGUGAGCGAUGAAGGCCUUCGGGUCGUAAAGCUCUGUUGUUAGGGAAGAACAAGUGCGAGAGUAACUGCUCGCACCUUGACGGUACCUAACCAGAAAGCCACGGCUAACUACGUGCCAGCAGCCCGCGGUAAU
RNAcentral lists this ribosomal RNA (520 nucleotides) under Bacillus sp. RiMSX30. Its description in RNAcentral is "bacterial SSU rRNA". It matches the Rfam family "Bacterial small subunit ribosomal RNA", at positions 39 to 524 of the family's 1533-position model. The record is from RNAcentral. Lineage: Bacteria; Bacillati; Bacillota; Bacilli; Caryophanales; Bacillaceae.